Molecule: non-coding RNA, 153 nt
Filed under: Sediminibacillus halophilus
Lineage: Bacteria; Bacillati; Bacillota; Bacilli; Caryophanales; Bacillaceae
Description: SAM-I sequence
Rfam family: SAM riboswitch aptamer (S box leader)
About the family: The SAM riboswitch is found upstream of a number of genes which code for proteins involved in methionine or cysteine biosynthesis in Gram-positive bacteria. The SAM riboswitch acts at the level of transcription termination control. The predicted structure consists of a complex stem-loop region followed by a single stem loop terminator region.
Source: RNAcentral
CUCUUAUCAAGAGCAGGUGGAGGGAAAUGGCCCGAUGAAGCCCGGCAACCGACUGUAAUACCAUUGCGAAAUGGGGCGUACAAAUUACGCCGCGGUUAUAACCGCUUAAAGCACGGUGCUAAUUCCUGCAGUAGCAAUACUGCAAGAUAAGAG